This 663-nucleotide ribosomal RNA is filed under the name uncultured bacterium. Its description in RNAcentral is "bacterial SSU rRNA". It matches the Rfam family "Bacterial small subunit ribosomal RNA", at positions 8 to 696 of the family's 1533-position model. The record is from RNAcentral.
AGAGUUUGAUCCUGGCUCAGGACGAACGCUGGCGGCGUGCCUAACACAUGCAAGUCGAGCGAGGAACUUCGGUUCCUAGCGGCGGACGGGUGAGUAACACGUGGGUAACCUGCCUCAAAGAGGGGGAUAGCCUCCCGAAAGGGAGAUUAAUACCGCAUAACAUUAAGCUACUGCAUGGUAGUUUAAUCAAAGGAGUAAUCCGCUUUGAGAUGGACCCGCGGCGCAUUAGCUAGUUGGUGAGGUAACGGCUCACCAAGGCAACGAUGCGUAGCCGACCUGAGAGGGUGAUCGGCCACAUUGGAACUGAGACACGGUCCAGACUCCUACGGGAGGCAGCAGUGGGGAAUAUUGCACAAUGGGCGAAAGCCUGAUGCAGCAACGCCGCGUGAGUGAUGAAGGCCUUCGGGUUGUAAAGCUCUGUCUUUGGGGACGAUUAUGACGGUACCCAAGGAGGAAGCCACGGCUAACUACGUGCCAGCAGCCGCGGUAAUACGUAGGUGGCAAGCGUUGUCCGGAUUUACUGGGCGUAAAGGAUGCGUAGGCGGAUAUUUAAGUCAGAUGUGAAAACCCCGGGCUCAACUUGGGGACUGCAUUUGAAACUGGAUAUCUAGAGUGCGGGAGAGGAAAGUGGAAUUCCUAGUGUAGCGGUGAAAUGCGUGGAGA